RNAcentral lists this long non-coding RNA (1317 nucleotides) under Homo sapiens (human). RNAcentral's name for it is "HSALNT0343288". Lineage: Eukaryota; Metazoa; Chordata; Mammalia; Primates; Hominidae. The record is from RNAcentral.
CAGGCGUGAGCCGCCGCACACAGCCAAUAAGUUUUUAUAGAACACAGUAACUUUCAAAUUUUAGCUGCAUCAAAAUCACCUGGAGAGCUUAUUAAAGCACAUUGCUGGAUCUUAACCACCAGAGUUUUUGAAUUAUUAGGUCUGGAGAGGGCCCAAGAUUUUGUAUUUUGUAAUUUAAAAAAAAAAAUUUUUUUCAGCUUCCAAUUCUCUGGUUGAAGAUUUUGUGUUUUGAGUAACUCCCCGGGAGACGCUGAUGCUACCAGUCUGAAGACCACACUUUGGAAACCACUGCUCUAACACUUUCUCCAAGCUAAAGCUGUCUGAACAGGGCUAAGAAAAUCCUUCACAUGAAAACAGCUGAGGAGCAGAGGCUCCAGGAGAAGUUUUCCAGUGAUUGAUGGAACGUAACCUUGAAAGUCUACCUCGUCAGUUCUUGAGAUUGGGGUUCUUCAGGCUUCAUCCCGGCUUAUUUCCCUGCUGGAAAUCAGAGAUAGAAACAAAUGAAGCAUCAGGUUGAAAACAGAAGUGCAAAACAGUCACAGGAAACACAACCCAUACAUCACACCAGCAGCCGGAGGAAAGCCCCUGCCCACCAGAGAUGACCAGGCAACAAGCCCUGGCCAGGCAACUCUCACACCUUUCCCAGCUUCGUGGAUAAUUAAGAAACAGUGGUGACCUAGUACCUAGGAACUAAUCAGAACGUAGAGUAAUAACUGUUUUUCCAACCACGGAUCUUGGUAGGAGCUUCUCAGAGGUGAUCCUUGUCACCCGUCAGAAAUGGUUGCCUCUCAUUAUCAAGAAACAGAAGGAGAAACAAAACGACCAGUGAACUCACCAUCCACUCAGAUCUGGUUUCAGGAAGAAACAGGAUGCCAGUGCAGUAGCCCUGUACACUAUCACCUUAAAGGACCUCCGAAGUUGUUUCUGCUUUAUCUCUCCAUACCAACUCCCUCCUUGCUGCACACUUCAGAAUUUUGGAAAUAAGACAUAACUAGAAAAAAGGUUUUAACUAAAAUAGACUAUUUGAACACUGCAACCUCACUACGUCUUUCUGCAACAAUUCUGAAAUGGAAAUAAAAUAGUAGCUAUUACAUUUGAGAACUGAAGGCCUAUUAACUGACAAAGACUGUGUAAGGCAUAAGGUAUAGGUAUAAGUACUAGUUAUAAAUUCGUUUCCAAUAUAAUUCCACUUUACCAUAAUGUGCCUUAGAAGAUACACCUAUAGCCAGGGCAGGAGUGAGACCACUGCAUAUGAUUAUAUUACCCUUAACAUGUAGGUGAGGAGUUGGCAACUUCAAAAAAAAGUUAUGCAAACUG